CGCAAGCCUGACGGAGCAAGACCGCGUGAGGGAGGAAGGCCCUUGGGUUGUAAACCUCUUUUCUCAGGGAAGAAGACUGACGGUACCUGAGGAAUCAGCCUCGGCUAACUCCGUGCCAGCAGCCGCGGUAAUACGGAGGAGGCAAGCGUUAUCCGGAAUUAUUGGGCGUAAAGCGUCCGUAGGUGGUUAUUCAAGUCUGCUGUCAAAGCGUGGGGCUUAACUCCAUAGAGGCAGUGGAAACUGGAUGACUUGAGUGCGGUAGGGGUCGAGGGAAUUCCCAGUGUAGCGGUGAAAUGCGUAGAUAUUGGGAAGAACACCAGUGGCGAAAGCGCUCGACUGGGCCUGCACUGACACUGAGGGACGAAAGCUAGGGGAGCG
Molecule: ribosomal RNA, 378 nt
Filed under: uncultured cyanobacterium
Lineage: Bacteria; Bacillati; Cyanobacteriota
Description: bacterial SSU rRNA
Rfam family: Bacterial small subunit ribosomal RNA
Source: RNAcentral